GACGAACGCUGGCGGCGUGCUUAACACAUGCAAGUCGAACGGAAAGGCCCUGCUUUUGUGGGGUGCUCGAGUAGCGAACGGGUGAGUAACACGUGAGUAACCUGACCUUGACUUUGGGAUAACUUCAGGAAACUGGGGCUAAUACCGGAUAGGAGCUCCUGCUGCAUGGUGGGGGUUGGAAAGUUUCGGCGGUUGGGGAUGGACUCGCGGCUUAUCAGCUUGUUGGUGGGGUAGUGGCUUACCAAGGCUUUGACGGGUAGCCGGCCUGAGAGGGUGACCGGCCACAUUGGGACUGAGAUACGGCCCAGACUCCUACGGGAGGCAGCAGUGGGGAAUAUUGCACAAUGGGCGGAAGCCUGAUGCAGCAACGCCGCGUGCGGGAUGACGGCCUUCGGGUUGUAAACCGCUUUCGCCUGUGACGAAGCGUGAGUGACGGUAAUGGGUAAAGAAGCACCGGCUAACUACGUG
This 468-nucleotide ribosomal RNA is filed under the name uncultured bacterium. Its description in RNAcentral is "partial 16S ribosomal RNA". It matches the Rfam family "Bacterial small subunit ribosomal RNA", at positions 28 to 507 of the family's 1533-position model. The record is from RNAcentral.